Molecule: transfer RNA, 79 nt
Filed under: Leisingera sp. S132
Lineage: Bacteria; Pseudomonadati; Pseudomonadota; Alphaproteobacteria; Rhodobacterales; Roseobacteraceae
Description: tRNA-Arg
Rfam family: tRNA
About the family: Transfer RNA (tRNA) molecules are approximately 80 nucleotides in length.
Source: RNAcentral
GGGCCCUUAGCUCAGCUGGAUUUAGAGCAGGGAACUUCUAAUUCUCAGGUCGGGGGUUCGAGUCCUCCAGGGCUCGCCA